UUCCAACAACUUCCCCAAAGGACUAUAGGCACAUAAAAAGCAACACACACAAAAUAAAUGUAGUCGUUGAGCAAAGCGACAGAGAAAUGGAAAAAAGGCUUCAACGCGUUUUUGUCGUUGAGAUUUGCGAUGGCGAUAAAAAAAAUGAAAUAGAGUGUGAAUUUGAGAG
Molecule: non-coding RNA, 169 nt
Organism: Caenorhabditis elegans
Lineage: Eukaryota; Metazoa; Nematoda; Chromadorea; Rhabditida; Rhabditidae
Source: Ensembl